ACCAAUGUGGAUUAGUUGAAGAAGUAUUACAUUUGAGACCAUGGUCGCAGGAUGGGUGGCCAUCAUUUCGGUUAGCCUUACACCUUAUCACCUUUAUUGAUAUAUUAAAAACCAUUGCUAGCCCAUUGAGCCUCACGUGGUAUGUUAUAGCCUUAUUUCUUUCUUAUAGCCUUGAUUACCAUUUCUACACCCGGGUUGGGACCCUUUGGUGUAUAUGCAU
Molecule: long non-coding RNA, 220 nt
Filed under: Vitis vinifera (wine grape)
Lineage: Eukaryota; Viridiplantae; Streptophyta; Magnoliopsida; Vitales; Vitaceae
Description: long non-coding RNA (VVIN_LNC005378)
Source: RNAcentral